Molecule: ribosomal RNA, 305 nt
Filed under: uncultured bacterium
Lineage: Bacteria
Description: bacterial SSU rRNA
Rfam family: Bacterial small subunit ribosomal RNA
Source: RNAcentral
GUGUUCCUAGGGAGGCAGCAGUGGGGAAUAUUGCACAAUGGGCGAAAGCCUGAUGCAGCAACGCCGCGUGAAGGAAGACGGUGUUCGGAUUGUAAACUUCUGUUCUUAGUGAAGAAUAAUGACGGUAACUAAGGAGCAAGCCACGGCUAACUACGUGCCAGCAGCCGCGGUAAUACGUAGGUGGCAAGCGUUGUCCGGAAUUACCGGGUGUAAAGGGAGCGUAGGCGGGAAGCCAAGUCAGCUGUGAAAACUACGGGCUUAACCUGUAGACUGCAGUUGAAACUGGCUUUCUUGAGUGAAGUAGG